Picea glauca (white spruce) is the source of this 121-nucleotide non-coding RNA. The record is from Rfam. Lineage: Eukaryota; Viridiplantae; Streptophyta; Pinopsida; Pinales; Pinaceae.
ACAUGCUUGCAGUAUAGUGUUAAUGCAUUGGAUCCCAUUAGAACUCCAUAGGUAGUCAUGCUCAGGCUACACUAGUAUUGGGAUGGGUGACUGCCUGGGAAGUCCUAGUGUUUUGCAUGCC